This 253-nucleotide ribosomal RNA is filed under the name uncultured bacterium. RNAcentral describes it as "partial 16S ribosomal RNA". It matches the Rfam family "Bacterial small subunit ribosomal RNA", at positions 524 to 776 of the family's 1533-position model. The record is from RNAcentral.
UACGUAGGGGGCGAGCGUUGCCCGAAUUUACUGGGCGUAAAGCGCACGUAGGCGGCUUCGUAAGUCUGGUGUGAAAUCUCACGGCUCAACCGAGAGGCUGCACCAGAUACUGCGGAGCUCGAGGACGGGAGAGGAGAUCGGAAUUCCCGGUGUAGCGGUGAAAUGCAUUGAUAUCGGGAGGAACACCAGUGGCGAAGGCGGAUCUCUGGCCCGUUGCUGACGCUGAGGUGCGACAGCGUGGGGAGCAAACCGG